This is a non-coding RNA of Schistosoma mattheei, 46 nucleotides long. Lineage: Eukaryota; Metazoa; Platyhelminthes; Trematoda; Strigeidida; Schistosomatidae. The record is from Rfam.
GCACUGCUGAAGAGUCCCACAACAGGACGAAAUGACCCUCCAGUGC